Molecule: non-coding RNA, 82 nt
Organism: Ciona savignyi (Pacific transparent sea squirt)
Lineage: Eukaryota; Metazoa; Chordata; Ascidiacea; Phlebobranchia; Cionidae
Source: Rfam
GUCGUCGUGGCCGAGUGGUUAAGGCGACAGACUUGAAAUCUGUUGGGCUCUGCCCGCACAGGUUCGAAUCCUAUCGGCGACG